AUACGGAGGGUGCGAGCGUUAAUCGGAAUUACUGGGCGUAAAGCGCGCGCAGGCGGUUAGAUCAGUCGGUUGUGAAAGCCCCGAGCUUAACUUGGGAACUGCAUUCGAUACUGUCUAGCUAGAGUAUGGUAGAGGGAAGCGGAAUUCCGGGUGUAGCGGUGAAAUGCGUAGAUAUCCGGAGGAACACCAGUGGCGAAGGCGACUCACUGGACUAAUACUGACGCUGAGGUGCGAAAGCGUGGGGAGCAAACAGAAUUAGAUACCCGGGUAGUCC
Molecule: ribosomal RNA, 274 nt
Filed under: uncultured bacterium
Lineage: Bacteria
Description: partial 16S ribosomal RNA
Rfam family: Bacterial small subunit ribosomal RNA
Source: RNAcentral